GCUGCACUUUUGAGAUGCAACAAUACCAUGUCUGAGAAAUGAUAAGGAUACUUUUUUAAAAUAAGACUCUCUGUAGACUCUUAAGUUAAUGUUUAAUUUAAUUUUCGUGCUAAUAUUAUAAAAUAUUGUAAAAAUAUAAGAUGAGUUGUUAACUUGAUUUUCAUGCCAAUAUUAUAAAACAUCGUAAAAAUAUAAAGUGAAUCGUUAACUUAAUUUUCAUGCCAAUAUUAUGAAACAUCGUAAAAAUACGAGGUGUUGAUGCACAAAAUCAGUGAGGAUUUUGUUACAAUAGAAAGUGUCAAGUUUGUGACCUUCGCUAGAUUGCUCCGGUCACUAGUGUGGAUAAGUAUGUAAAUGGAUAGAGACAGAGAAGCAAGCAACACAAUAUGUACAUGGUUCACCCAGAUUGGCUACGUCCACAGAGUAAGGGAGUUCUAAUUAAUUGUGAAAGGUUUACAAAAGUACAUAGGUUCAAGCUCUCCUUUAGUGAGUACUAGUGAAUGAUUUAGUACAAAUGAUAUUAGAGAUUAUUGUGGGAGAAUGAUCUCCUUUUAUAGAAGAGAGUUUCUAGCUUUGUUCUGGCCUUGACAUGUGUCAUGCUGUGAUUCGUCUUUGAUGUUGACACAUGUCGCCCUAUGAUUGGCCUCUUGGUGUUGACACUUGUUGCGCUGUGAUUGGCCUCCUGGUUGGAGGAAAACUCUUAUAGGUCCUUGACGGUAUAACGUUGACCGAUGUUUGUUAGUUUCGGGAUUUGUCAAGUAUGGUACGAACACGAGGUGAGCCUUGUUAUCAUAUCUCUCAACAAAAUAGUCUUACUCAUUGCAAAAAAUUAACAAAGGAUGACAAAGAUUGUAGAUUGAUGCUGCUUUAUUGUGACCGUUCGUAUACCCCAAACUCUAUGUAUAACUCGUACGACUGCUCCUCCCGUAAAACCCCACCGGUUCCUUCAUUGGUUCCAAUGUUAUUUGAUGUAUAAAAAUUUAAAAAUUAAGAUACUUGGAAAGUAAUAUAUUAAGAAUUAUCUUAAAAUACUGUACAAAAUUACAGAUGGUUUAUGACUUGCAUUGCAUUUCUACUUCGUUGACGAACAAUUUAAAUAAAUUUCUUUGCCAAACUCAGUUUUAAGCCUAGCUAUCUCUGGCGGUUUCUGACCAUUAUAGACUCCCCAAAAAUAAUUUAAAUAAUUGAUGGAACAAACUAUAUUCUUUUACCCAUAGAAAUUGACCUAGCUUCAAACCC
RNAcentral lists this long non-coding RNA (1239 nucleotides) under Malus domestica (apple). RNAcentral's name for it is "long non-coding RNA (MDOM_LNC010086)". The record is from RNAcentral. Lineage: Eukaryota; Viridiplantae; Streptophyta; Magnoliopsida; Rosales; Rosaceae.